GAGUAGCUCAAUGGUAGAGCGGGUGGCUGUUAACCACUAGGCUGGGGGUUCGAGUCCCUCCUC
RNAcentral lists this transfer RNA (63 nucleotides) under marine eukaryotic metagenome. It matches the Rfam family "tRNA", at positions 5 to 66 of the family's 71-position model. Rfam says of the family: Transfer RNA (tRNA) molecules are approximately 80 nucleotides in length. The record is from RNAcentral.